Molecule: long non-coding RNA, 2015 nt
Organism: Ictidomys tridecemlineatus (thirteen-lined ground squirrel)
Lineage: Eukaryota; Metazoa; Chordata; Mammalia; Rodentia; Sciuridae
Source: RefSeq, a predicted model, not a curated record
AGGCAGAGGGGAGAAGAUGCAGGGUGGCCGCGGAGGUGACGUAGCAGCAGUGUGCAGCCCGGAACUCCAGCCGCACCUUGAAGAAUGGAGUUGGGAGCAAUGUCCCCUCCUUAAAAGGACUUGAAGACGUGAUGAAAGCUCCGGCCGCCCAGGAGACAGGAGGAAGUGGGUUCUCAGUCCUAGUGAAUCGGCCACCAAAGGGUGGCCAAGCCUGAGAAGCACAGGGAGCGGGGGACCAGCUCCAGACUCCCGAGUGGCCAUCAAGAGUGACCAGGAGAGCCUUUGAAGUGGCUGAUGUCCCUUCAGAGAAUCCCAGGGCGCUCCGGGGAGGGCUACCCGAGUCUGCCUCUCUCAAUGAGAGCCAUUUGAAAACAGAUGACGACGCAGGUGAGUCCCGUCCCAAGGCGGGGUCCCUGGGAGAUGGCCACGUUCGUUCCAUGAGGGAAGGACGAAUAAUGCCCCCUUUGAGGUCGGAGCUCCCAGUUGGGACGGAGAUGAGCAAGAGGGACACAGACACUUAGCACACAGCCCUCGGGCACAGGUGGCAGGUCCCAGGAAGCGGGCCGCUCCCAAGGAGGUGGGGCUGGCUGCGAUCCCAGGGUCACGGGGCCACCCGGGCUGCGUCUUCAGAGUGACUGGACAAAGGCCAAGCACUCUGGGCCUCGUGGGACAGGGAACGGAGGGAGGGCGAAUCAGUAGUUAAUAAGGGCUGGUCAGCGCCGAUGGUCAGUGGACGUCCAGAGCCCUCUGCAUGCCAAGGGCCCAAGGUGGUCUUUGGUGGUGAACUCGGUCCUUCCUGGUGGGCAGCAGGGAGGAAGGUCACCUUUGGAAACGGAUGUCCUGCUCUGAGCCCUCCUGUGUCUGUGCCCGGGGAAAAGCCUUCAGCUCCCGCCGUCCUCAGGCCAAGGUGGCCGCUCUGGGGUGGCUCAUCCGGGCCUCCUGUGCGUCUGUCGGGGACUCCCGCCGGGCACCUUGGUGGGUCGUCACCCCCUGUGACCUAGCCAUGUUAAUAGAAGCUGUGCCAACGCCAGGCGAGGACUCGGUCAACAAACGCCCGUCAGAUGCUCGGCCCUGGGCUGGAACGGGGCACAUGACGGACGCGGUUCUGUUGUCACCGUGCCUGGUACCGUCCUCGGUCUCCUCCGGCACUCCCCCCAGGGCUGCCUGGCCGCUGGUUUGGGCUGCCAUCCCCCAAUUCCUCCCGGUCUCCCCCUCUACAGGUGCUCUGGGCUGGCCGCCUCCUGCAGGGGUCGUGGCUCCUCCCGAGCAGCCCACGUCACCUCCGUGUCUCCAGAACCGCCCUCCCCUUUCCAGGCCCAUCCAGCAUCAGGGUGCUGAGGUCACCUGUUUCACCCUGGCUCCUGCGUAUCCACCGAGUGCCUGCACCCCACCCAGCCCUCUGUAGAGAGCGUCACCUGUCCCCACCACGCGGUCACUCUCGUGGUCACUCCCACUCCCUCGUGUCCCUCUCUGCCCUGGCGUGGUCAGCAGAGUUCCCCCUGAGCCUGCUGGACCGCGGGCAGUGGGAGUCCUCUGUCCAGCUGCCUCUGAGAUGUCACCCCUCGCAGCCCUCAUGCCACAGUCCAUACAAGAGGCUGCUUCCUUUUGGCGACUGACCCCGAACAUGCAGCACGGGGGGACGGAAGAGUUGGCGGGACGAGGGCCCACCCCAGCUCAGUCUGCAUAAACAGACCUUACUAAAACCAUCCUGGCUACUUCCUCACGACUGUCAUCCCUUGACCCCAAAACGAUCUUGGCUAACAGGGUAUGAGAACGGCAAGCCAAAGUGCUUCUUGGAUUUUCACUCCUCUGCGGUGGACUCCGUGGCGCGUGAUAUCUAUUUCACAACCAGGGACCUUUUCCAUUGUCAGUCUUCUUAGUUUAAUUCACACCCCCCUGUUACGGAACCUGAAAGCUUAAGGAAGAAUGUGUCCUCCACAGUGCCAGGUCCCUGCCGGCAUCUCAGUACAGGUGGGGGCCCGGGCAGCGAGGCAUUUGGGGGUUAGGGUUAGUUC